AAAUCGAAUACAUUCACUCAUAUAAUGGCGGAAAUAUGGUCCGCAAGUUUCUACCGGUUUGCCGUAAACAAACUGACUAUGAGGGCAACG
Molecule: non-coding RNA, 90 nt
Filed under: uncultured Sporosarcina sp.
Lineage: Bacteria; Bacillati; Bacillota; Bacilli; Caryophanales; Caryophanaceae
Description: Purine riboswitch
Rfam family: Purine riboswitch aptamer
About the family: Riboswitches are metabolite binding domains within certain messenger RNAs that serve as precision sensors for their corresponding targets.
Source: RNAcentral